RNAcentral lists this ribosomal RNA (405 nucleotides) under Triticum aestivum (bread wheat). RNAcentral describes it as "partial small subunit ribosomal RNA". Lineage: Eukaryota; Viridiplantae; Streptophyta; Magnoliopsida; Poales; Poaceae. The record is from RNAcentral.
AUGGCCCGCGGCGAUGAUCUUCACGCCAUCAAACAUCUCCCGCUCAAGCUUAAAGGACCAGCUCGGCAUUGGCUUAAUAGCCUGCCCGCAGAGUCAAUUGGAUGCUGGGAAGACCUGGAAGCCGCAUUCCUCGACAACUUCCAGGGCACGUAUGUGCGACCACCGGACGGAGAUGACCUAAGCCACAUAAUCCAGCAGCCAGACGAAUCGGCCAGGCAAUUCUGGACACGGUUCUUAACAAAGAAAAAUCAAAUCGUCGACUGUCCGGAUGCAGAGGCCCUCGCUGCCUUCAAACAUAACAUCCGCGACGAGUGGCUGGCCCGGCACCUAGGACAGGAAAAGCCGAAAUACAUGGCAGCCCUGACAUCACUCAUGACCCGCUUCUGUGCGGGAGAGGAUAGCUAG